AUGGCAAAGUCAAAAAAGAGCAAGGAAAAUAAUAUAGUAGGGAGUGCUGUUACUCAUCGGGUGAAACGGAAAAGGUUCUACCGUCGAGAUUCUGCUGGUACUUAUAGUGCAGUAGAUGGUCCAAGUCCACCGGCUAAAUCUACAAACACAGUAUCACCUGCUCCACCAGCUGCAGCAUCCGCUUCAAUUGUACCAGCAUCUCAACCAGUUACUCAUUCGUUUGCUCCGAAACUGGCCAGUUCCCAAGCUGCCUUCACACCUAACACUACUUCCGAAGCACUGCUGACACAACAGAACUUGGCAAGAUCAGAUGAACCUCAUGAGCAUCAACACCAAGACGCACCACGGCGCAAGCGGAAACAGACAUUAGGGAUAAUGCUUGACAGAUUAACAAAAUCUAAAGGAGGAAGAUUGGAGAUCCAUUUUGAGGCAGGUUUAAAAAGGCCACGUGAUGCUACAUAG
This 462-nucleotide ribosomal RNA is filed under the name Triticum aestivum (bread wheat). Its description in RNAcentral is "partial small subunit ribosomal RNA". The record is from RNAcentral. Lineage: Eukaryota; Viridiplantae; Streptophyta; Magnoliopsida; Poales; Poaceae.